CUCUGGAAAGCUCCAGGGGAAAUUUGAGGCAUAACCCAGCUUCUCUGAGACGGAACUCAGGGAGGAUCCAGCUCAAUCCUACAGAGGCGACCCCAAGGAAGGACCUGCCCAGGGUCACUUGGAGAGCUGGGCGGGAGGAGGGAGAAACCUCCCCCGUUCAGAGUGACAAAGCCCCCCUUGCCUCAGGGAUGGCUGAGAUCCAAGUCCUCAAAACACGCCGCCAUCUGGAGGGUGUGAGAGCGAGGUCCGUCCUCAGCAUGGACGCUGCAGUGCACACUGUUCCGUGCCAGGUGCUGGCUGACCCUGCCCUGUGGGAGGUGAUGGACAGGCACACAGGGGGAGCCCCGCAAACAAGGGGCCCUGUUACAGCAGAGUGGGAGAGCGCCUGGUAGGACGCCAAGCACCGUGGCCGGGCUGCAGAGAGGCCUGCGGGACUUGUAGACAAGACGUCAUGGAGAAGGCGGAGCUCCCAUGGGCCUUGCAGGUUUCACCAAGCAAGAGCGGAGAAGACACAGGCUGGACAAAGGAAGGUGGACGGGACAGCCAGCCGUGCAGCAGCCUCACAGGACACAGCUACCAGACAGAGAGCACCAGCUGACACUCAUUCCUCCAGCACCAGGAAAUGCCACAGCAGAAGAGAGUCUUCAAGAUGGGCCAGACCCACUUCUGCAGCAUGGUUGCUGGGAGCCUGCACAGGCCAGGCAUUUCUCUACAGGUCAGCAGAGCUGCAGCAAGAUCCCAGGUCCUGACCCAAGGCAGUCCUGACCCAUGGUCUAUCCCCACCGGCCCUUCCCUGGAGCUGUGCCUCAGCUGGGGAGGUACUUCUGGAAGGCAGGUGGAGGAGGUCCAGUUGCUCUUCAGAACUCAAAAUCCCAUCUCUGCAGGUCUCAGCCAAUCCUGCUCCCGCCUGUUUUUAUUUCCUGCCCAGAGCAAGUACAGAACCGAGGGCCAUCGAUGGGCGAGAAAUCACUGUGCCUCCAAGCUGUAUUUUUCACCGUAACAAGUCAUUACUUCUGUGCCCGGAGUCAUUUCUCAGGAUCUUAAUGCAUUCGUUUAUCAAUCAAUACUUAACUGAUGUCUAUAAAGCAUGUUCAAAAUCAGAGGUGAGAGCAGCUCACCAGGUACCGACUUCGUGUCUGGAGCCACCUUGUUAAGGAGCAACCCUUGGCACGGGUCCCGUGUCUGCACCCUCGGGAGCUCUGGGUGGGUGCACUGGGGUCCUCACAGCCCUUCCCACCACCGCAGAUG
RNAcentral lists this long non-coding RNA (1248 nucleotides) under Homo sapiens (human). RNAcentral describes it as "long intergenic non-protein coding RNA 898". Lineage: Eukaryota; Metazoa; Chordata; Mammalia; Primates; Hominidae. The record is from RNAcentral.